Molecule: ribosomal RNA, 301 nt
Filed under: uncultured bacterium
Lineage: Bacteria
Description: partial 16S ribosomal RNA
Rfam family: Bacterial small subunit ribosomal RNA
Source: RNAcentral
CAGUCGCCGCGGGAAUACGAAGGGUGCAAGCGUUACUCGGAAUUACUGGGCGUAAAGCGUGCGUAGGUGGUGGUUUAAGUCCGUUGUGAAAGCCCUGGGCUCAACCUGGGAAUUGCAGUGGAUACUGGGUCACUAGAGUGUGGUAGAGGAUAGUGGAAUUUCCGGUGUAGCAGUGAAAUGCGUAGAGACCGGAAGGAACAUCUGUGGCGAAGGCGACUAUCUGGGCCAACACUGACACUGAGGCACGAAAGCGUGGGGAGCAAACAGGAUUAGAUACCCCGGUAGUCCCUGUCUCUUAUAC